AGUGAACGCUGGCGGUAGGCCUAACACAUGCAAGUCGAACGGCGGCACAGUAAGAGCUUGCUCUUACGGGUGGCGAGUGGCGGACGGGUGAGGAGUACAUCGGAAUCUACUUUUUCGUGGGGGAUAACGUAGGGAAACUUACGCUAAUACCGCAUACGACCUACGGGUGAAAGCAGGGGAUCUUCGGACCUUGCGCGAUUGAAUGAGCCGAUGUCGGAUUAGCUAGUUGGCGGGGUAAAGGCCCACCAAGGCGACGAUCCGUAGCUGGUCUGAGAGGAUGAUCAGCCACACUGGAACUGAGACACGGUCCAGACUCCUACGGGAGGCAGCAGUGGGGAAUAUUGGACAAAGGGCGCAAGCCUGAUCCAGCCAUACCGCGUGGGUGAAGAAGGCCUUCGGGUUGUAAAGCCCUUUUGUUGGGAAAGAAAAGCAGCAGGUUAAUACCCCGCUGUUCUGACGGUACCCAAAGAAUAAGCACCGGCUAACUUCGUG
RNAcentral lists this ribosomal RNA (492 nucleotides) under uncultured bacterium. Its description in RNAcentral is "partial 16S ribosomal RNA". It matches the Rfam family "Bacterial small subunit ribosomal RNA", at positions 29 to 507 of the family's 1533-position model. The record is from RNAcentral.